Molecule: long non-coding RNA, 333 nt
Filed under: Setaria viridis
Lineage: Eukaryota; Viridiplantae; Streptophyta; Magnoliopsida; Poales; Poaceae
Description: long non-coding RNA (SVIR_LNC009192)
Source: RNAcentral
AAUGAUCUAUAACUUGGGAUGGAGGGAGUAGAUAUUUCGUGCAUAGUUUUUCCGACUUAUAAAAAAUUUUAAAUCCAAUGUGAUGCGCGUCAUGUUUUCUUUUCUUCCAACUCUCUACAGUACAUUUUAUUCAUUCAAUUUAUGUUCACCUUCUGCUCUAACUCCGGCAACAUUUAACACAUUUUCCUCUAUCUCCCCGUGAAAUCGGGCUUCUCCAAUGAUUUAAGGUUAGAGAUUUUAGAGAGAAUGGUGAUCGGGGUAGCAAGGCUACCACCACCCUGAAAACGACUAGGGGGUGUUUGGUUCCUCUGACUUAUUUUUAGCACCCAUCAC